UACGUAGGGUGCAAGCGUUAAUCGGAAUUACUGGGCGUAAAGCGUGCGCAGGCGGUUUUGUAAGUCUGUCGUGAAAGCCCCGGGCUCAACCUGGGAAUCGCGAUGGAGACUGCAAGGCUUGAAUCUGGCAGAGGGGGGUAGAAUUCCACGGGUAGCAGUGAAAUGCGUAGAGAUGUGGAGGAACACCGAUGGCGAAGGCAGCCCCCUGGGUCAAGAUUGACGCUCAAGCACGAAAGCGUGGGGAGCAAACAGG
This 253-nucleotide ribosomal RNA is filed under the name uncultured bacterium. RNAcentral describes it as "partial 16S ribosomal RNA". It matches the Rfam family "Bacterial small subunit ribosomal RNA", at positions 524 to 776 of the family's 1533-position model. The record is from RNAcentral.